UGGGGAAUAUUGGACAAUGGGCGCAAGCCUGAUCCAGCAAUGCCGCGUGAAUGAAGAAGGCCUUAGGGUCGUAAAAUUCUUUUAGUUGGGAAGAUAAUGACUGUACCAACAGAAAAAGCUCCGGCUAACUUCGUGCCAGCAGCCGCGGUAAUACGAAGGGAGCUAGCGUUAUUCGGAAUCACUGGGCGUAAAGAGCACGUAGGCGGUUUAGUAAGUUGGAAGUGAAAGCCCAGGGCUUAACCUUGGAAAUGCUUUCAAAACUACUAGACUAGAGAUCAAGAGGGGAUGGCGGAAUUCCUAGUGUAGAGGUGAAAUUCUUAGAUAUUAGGAGGAACACCGGUGGCGAAGGCGGCCAUCUGGAUUGAAUCUGACGCUGAGGUGCGAAAGUGUGGGUAGCAAACAGG
Molecule: ribosomal RNA, 404 nt
Filed under: uncultured bacterium
Lineage: Bacteria
Description: bacterial SSU rRNA
Rfam family: Bacterial small subunit ribosomal RNA
Source: RNAcentral